UACGAGUGGUGCAAGCGUUAUUCGGAUUUAUUGGGCGUAAAGGGUGUGUAGACGGUUCAUUAAGUCAUUUGUUUAAUCCUCCGGCCUAACCGGAGUACAGCGAGUGAAACUAAUAGACUUGAGGGUGGAAGAGAGAAGUGGAAUUCUCGGAGUAGCGGUAAAAUGCGUAGAUCUCGAGAGGAACACCAAUGGCGAAGGCAGCUUCUUGGUCCAUACCUGACGUUGAAACACGAAAGCGUGGGGAGCAAACAGG
RNAcentral lists this ribosomal RNA (253 nucleotides) under uncultured bacterium. RNAcentral's name for it is "partial 16S ribosomal RNA". It matches the Rfam family "Bacterial small subunit ribosomal RNA", at positions 524 to 776 of the family's 1533-position model. The record is from RNAcentral.